UACGUAGGGGGCAAGCGUUAUCCGGAAUUAUUGGGUGUAAAGGGUGCGUAGACGGAGAAACAAGUUGGUUGUGAAAUCCCUCGGCUCAACCGAGGAACUGCAACCAAAACUAUUUCCCUUGAGUGUCGGAGAGGAAAGUGGAAUUCCUAGUGUAGCGGUGAAAUGCGUAGAUAUUAGGAGGAACACCAGUGGCGAAAGCGGCUCUCUGGUCUGUAACUGACGCUGAGGUUCGAAAGCGUGGGUAGCAAACAGG
RNAcentral lists this ribosomal RNA (253 nucleotides) under uncultured bacterium. RNAcentral describes it as "partial 16S ribosomal RNA". It matches the Rfam family "Bacterial small subunit ribosomal RNA", at positions 524 to 776 of the family's 1533-position model. The record is from RNAcentral.